RNAcentral lists this ribosomal RNA (372 nucleotides) under Clostridioides difficile. RNAcentral's name for it is "bacterial LSU rRNA". It matches the Rfam family "Bacterial large subunit ribosomal RNA", at positions 1793 to 2164 of the family's 2925-position model. Lineage: Bacteria; Bacillati; Bacillota; Clostridia; Peptostreptococcales; Peptostreptococcaceae. The record is from RNAcentral.
CAAGCGACUGUUUACCAAAAACAUAGGUUUCUGCUAAGUCGCAAGACGAUGUAUAGGAGCUGACGCCUGCCCGGUGCUGGAAGGUUAAGGGGAUCUGUUAGAGCAAUCGAAGCAGUGAACUUAAGACCCAGUAAACGCUGGCCGUAACUGUACCGGUCCUGAGGCAGGUAAAUUCUUCGUCGGGUAAGUUCCGACCCGAACGGAAGGCGUAACGAUUUGGGCACUGUCUCAACAACAGACUCGGGGAAAUUGUAAUUCCGGUGAAGAUGCCGGAUACCUGCGACAGGACGGAACGACCCCAUGGAGCUUUACUGUAGCUUGACAUUGGGUCUUGGUACUACAUGUACAGGAUAGGUGGGAGGCUUUGAAACC